RNAcentral lists this long non-coding RNA (1027 nucleotides) under Hordeum vulgare. RNAcentral's name for it is "long non-coding RNA (HVUL_LNC003266)". The record is from RNAcentral. Lineage: Eukaryota; Viridiplantae; Streptophyta; Magnoliopsida; Poales; Poaceae.
UUCAAACGUUCUACUGGUAGUUUACGAAUAAAUUUUAUGACAUGCUUGAAUCUUUCGAGUGAAACUUGGUAUGGUGAGUAACAUACAUAUUUUUAGCUAUGCAUCGAUCAUAUCUGAUACUUGUGAUCUGCGUUGGGUUUUGUGUGAAGAGGAACAGAUGAUGCAACACAAUAUAGGUAAGUAUUUCUCUCACUAGAGAACUAAGGUCCAUUGAACGAAUAGGAGUAACAACAAACCCCCGUCCCCCGCGACCACACACAAGAGAAACAAACACUUGCACCCAACGCAGGCAAGAGGGUUGUCAAUCCCCUUGUCUUGUUAUUUGCAAGCAAGUACAUAUUGUGGUUGGAAUUUGCAAAGUGAAACAUAAAUAAAUAAAGUCAGCGAGCAAAUUGUAACAUUUGUAAACCUAUAAGAGAAUAGACCCGAGAGCCAUAGUUGUCCUCAUUGGCAUCUCUCAUGAAAGUAAGCAUACACUAGGUAAACAAAUUACCAUCAGACAAUUGAUAGAAAAGCUCAUAGGUAUGUGAUAUUCAUGACAAUGAUCAUGUGUAUAUAGGCAUCACUUCCAUAAGCAAAUAGACUGACUCCUGCAUGCACCUACUACUAUUACUCCACCUAUCGUCCGCUAUCUAGCAUGCAUCAAGAGUAUUAAGUUGUAGAGGCCCUCAUGGGAGCAACAAGGAUGAUCUAGAGGUCCUCCAUGAACGUCCCCCUUCGGCAAGGCACCGUAACAAGGCUCCAGAUGGGGGCAUGAUGGAACAGAGACUUGUGGCGAUGGAAAAAGUGUUUCAUGUUGCUCUAUAGGGUUUUUGGGAUAUAUGUGAAUUACAGAACGUAGAGGUACGCUAGGAGGCAACCAUGGGGAGCAUGAGGCAACAUGGCGCGCCCUCCUGGCCACACUCUGUUAGCUCAUGCUUCCCUUGUUAGGUUUAUCGCCUCCUCUCGAAGCUUUCAGGUUUUCUUUUGUCCAGAAAAAAUCAUCAAAAUUUUUCGUGGUAAUUGAAGUUCCUUUGGUACUGUAAAC